Molecule: ribosomal RNA, 423 nt
Filed under: uncultured Clostridium sp.
Lineage: Bacteria; Bacillati; Bacillota; Clostridia; Eubacteriales; Clostridiaceae
Description: bacterial SSU rRNA
Rfam family: Bacterial small subunit ribosomal RNA
Source: RNAcentral
UGGGGAAUAUUGGGGCAAUGGGCGCAAGCCUGACCCAGCAACGCCGCGUGAAGGAAGAAGGCUUUCGGGUUGUAAACUUCUUUUGCCGGGGACGAGUAGAAGACGGUACCUGGCGAAUAAGCCACGGCUAACUACGUGCCAGCAGCCGCGGUAAUACGUAGGUGGCGAGCGUUAUCCGGAUUUACUGGGUGUAAAGGGCGCGUAGGCGGGAAUGCAAGUCAGAUGUGAAAUCCAAGGGCUCAACCCUUGAACUGCAUUUGAAACUGUAUUUCUUGAGUGUCGGAGAGGUUGACGGAAUUCCUAGUGUAGCGGUGAAAUGCGUAGAUAUUAGGAGGAACACCAGUGGCGAAGGCGGUCAACUGGACGAUAACUGACGCUGAGGCGCGAAAGCGUGGGGAGCAAACAGGAUUAGAUACCCUGGUA